RNAcentral lists this ribosomal RNA (422 nucleotides) under uncultured bacterium. RNAcentral describes it as "bacterial SSU rRNA". It matches the Rfam family "Bacterial small subunit ribosomal RNA", at positions 355 to 774 of the family's 1533-position model. The record is from RNAcentral.
UAAGGAGUAUUGGUCAAUGGAGGGAACUCUGAACCAGCCAUGCCGCGUGCAGGAAGACGGCCCUCUGGGUUGUAAACUGCUUUUAUUCGGGAAUAAACCUAUUUACGUGUAAAUAGCUGAAUGUACCGAAGGAAUAAGGAUCGGCUAACUCCGUGCCAGCAGCCGCGGUUAUACGGAGGGUCCAAGCGUUAUCCGGAUUUAUUGGGUUUAAAGGGUGCGUAGGCGGCUUAUUAACUCAGGGGUGAAAGACGGUGGCUAAACCAUCGCAGUGCCCUUGAUACUGAUGAGCUUGAAUGGACUAGAGGUAGGCGGAAUGUGACGAGUAGCGGUGAAAUGCAUAGAUAUGUCACAGAACACCGAUUGCGAAGGCAGCUUACUAUGGUUUUAUUGACGCUGAGACACGAAAGCGUGGGGAUCAAACA